UCAUUACCAUUCGAGUUUGUGUGAGUGAACCGUGAACAUGACGCUCAGAAUCGUUGUUUUGUUUGUGUUUUUAAUUAGUUUCCAACACUCAAUCGCGGAUUGUCCUCCAGGGGAGUACGACCCUGGUCCCGACUGUGCCUUCGAAGUCAUUUGCCCAGUUCCCGCACAUUCUGCCAGGAGACACUACUGCGACUGCUGGUGCAACCCCGGCACCCUGAGGGACACCAUCACCAACAAAUGUGUUAAAAACGAGGACUGCUCUUAUGUAAACAUGCUUGAUAAGCCUUUAUUUAGGUUAUAAGUGAGUUUCAUCACUAAUUUUAUCAGUUUUUGACACCAUGUUUGGUAGGCCUUGAAUUUACCAUCACCCUGCCAAUCAAAACGGACCCUUGCCUUCUACAAAAUAAACAUAUAACCAUAAAUUUUGAAUAUCAGGACAUCGUAAUUUUGGGAAGCAAAAUUGUGUGUCAUUUGUUUUUAAUGAUCAUGAGUCAAGGUAGUGGUAGUGUUUCAAUGGAAACCUAGCUCAGAUUGACAGGACAAACAGAAUAAGUGAUAGAUACAAAGGACUAGUAAAAGCCAACAAUGUUCUAAGUUAAAGUAGUUAAGGGCACUCUAUGAGAACAGAAGUCAAUUUUGAGCAUUGCUAUGAACUGGGCUUUUGCAUAUUAUUUCCGCUAAUUGGGUCACACAGUCACUUCGUCUGGUCUAAACCGGAGUGAACCAGGAUUAACUACAAAAACAUGUUGGCGUUAUAUCUAGUGUAACUUGGUUAUUUUGUUUUACCAUUGGAUCUACGCUUAGCUGUAGAAGCAUUUGACCUAUUCAAGUUCAAGUUUAAACUUAAUUACCUGUGCCUAAAAAAAGCGAAGAUACGUCACCGAUGUUUUCUUGUUUUUUUCUUAAGUUACAUGCCUGUGAUUAUUAUGGUUAAUAGAGGCAAAAAAUCAAAUUAUUGUAAUUAUUUUUAAUAACAAAUGUUGUUGAUAACUGAGGCUUAGAUAUUUUUUUAUUCAGUCUUGACCCGGACUAACUAACUAUUGUAAAUGUAUGUACCUAUUUUAAGACAAAACCUAGUGUUGAUAAUAUUAUUUAAAUUUUAAACCAA
This is a long non-coding RNA of Trichoplusia ni (cabbage looper), 1108 nucleotides long. RefSeq lists it as uncharacterized. Lineage: Eukaryota; Metazoa; Arthropoda; Insecta; Lepidoptera; Noctuidae. The transcript has 2 exons. The record is from RefSeq and is a predicted model, not a curated record.